Molecule: ribosomal RNA, 229 nt
Filed under: uncultured bacterium
Lineage: Bacteria
Description: partial 16S ribosomal RNA
Rfam family: Bacterial small subunit ribosomal RNA
Source: RNAcentral
UACGUAGGCGGACUAAUAAGUCAGUGGUGAAAUCUUUCGGCUCAACCGAGAAACUGCCAUUGAUACUGUUAGUCUUGAGUUCGGUUGAGGUAGGCGGAAUGUGUAAUGUAGCGGUGAAAUGCUUAGAUAUUACACAGAACACCAGUUGCGUAGGCAGCUUACUAGACCGACACUGACGCUGAGGCACGAAAGCGUGGGGAGCGAACAGGAUUAGAUACCCUGGUAGUCC